AAGCAAAACGGUUCCCUCCCCAAUACCGCCUCGUGUUUUUUCCCACGAUUUUUUCUCCUUUUUUUUUUUUUUUUACUUUUAAAUCCCCGGACCUCUCGCCUUGUCAACUUCCCAUCACCGAAGUAUUUCUCGUCUACUCUCGGACUGCAUCAUCUACUGCUUCGGUUUGGCCUUUUUCUUGGAUUUUCUCCCGUUUUUGGUUCUAUUUGGGUCUGGCUUUUGAACUUGGGGGAAAAGAUCCGACCUUUUUUCGGAAAACGUUCUUCUUUGGGGUUUAGAGAUGGCCGGGGAGUGGAGGGGGUCGUGGAACGGGGAGCAGAGCUACCGUUACAAGGAGGGAGGCAGCAGAGGGACUAAAUCUUGGAGGCCGCCCCAUGCCCCUGGAUCUGAGGUUCCAUCAGUUCCUUUGUGGGAGAAGAAAUUCUGCAUGCAUGUGGGUGCAAUUCCAUGGAAGAGGUUCUGUGAAAACAAGAAAUUUAUGGGUCUGUAUAAGAAUGUGAUACAGUGGGAUGAUUCAGCUGCUUUAGAGGCUUUUCAGAGUGCAAAGGCCCGGUUCUAUGCAGAGUAUAAUGGUUUCCAUUGUAACAUCCCUCUGCCUGACCCAGAUCUGUAUAUUGAUGAAGUUGACCAAGAUGCUAUUGUCGAUCCUGAUCUGGUGGCAGAUUUAGAUGAACCACCUCCAGCCCCUGCUGAUGUGUAUAAUACUCCAACUAAUGGCUGGGAUUCCUUUAUCUUUACAGACAAACCAGUUCCAGCUUCUGGGUGGGGUGAUGCAGAGGACCCUGUCCCUUCAAAUAAGAAAACUGGUGAGCAUAGCUCUGCAAACUGGGAUGCUUAUAUUGAACAAAUAAGACCCAGUGGAUGGGGGAAUGCAUCUGAGACCUACUGCUCAAGUUGGGAUAUAAAGAAUGAUUCUGGCACUGCAUGGGUUUGCAGUGGUGGAGUUUGGGGCAAGGGAGUUGUGCAGGAUAAACCAUUGGUAUAUGGGACUGACAAUUACUGGGAUAAUUGGAGGAGAAAUCCAUGCGGAACUUGGGAGAACAGGAAUAGUGAGCCAAAUAGAAGAAAUGGAAGAAAGAGAAAUGGAGGUGGUCGGUUCGGUUCAAGAUAUACGAAACCUAAGUACCAGGUGGAUGGUUAUCAGUCAAAUAAUAGCUGGACUGAUUGCAGAGGAAGAAAUAGGACAAACUAUCCAUGUCAGAACACAGUAUAUGCUAAGCAGCCCCUGGCUAUGUAGCUGUGGAACUCCAUGUGCUUGUGUUGGCCGAUAAAUCAUGAUAGAUUAGCUGAAUCAGGUAUGGACAGUUUGUUGCAUUGCAUGUGUAUAUACUUAAAGACUAUUAAGAAGCUGAUGCAGUAUGUAGAGUCAAGUUUCAAUAUAUUGGUGAGAAGUUUCAAGGAAAAACCAUAAAAUGUCAUUCAAUAACUAAGCAAAAUCAUGCAAAGAUGAUAUUGUCAGGAUUCAAGAACCUUUGUAUAACAUAUAUUGACUGUGUGCAGAGCAGGAGCUUAGGAGGUUUUGUUGGCCUCUGUGAUGAUAUAAGCAAUAUCUGAACCUACUCUGGAAACCAUACAAAAAAAUGUGCUGUGUGAUCAUAUCAGAUCGCCACACUGUUUCACAAAAGGGUAUUGUAUCAUUUGGUCUAUUAUGGUCACACAGCAGUUAAUACAUCAUGUGACCCAUUCUUUUGAAUUUAUCACUUUCAACCACAACCUUAAGCAAUUUUUGAUGUUUCUUCCAUGCUAACAACACUGCAAGAUGCUCACUGUUAAGUGAUUAUCAUUCUCUUUACAUUAUUAACUCUCCAUUUGAUUUUUUUGUUCACUCUUAUCUCAGAAUUAAGAAGUUGUCAUGUUGCAAAUUAGGUUUUGAUUUCCAAGAUUUGUGGCAGAGCUGUGAAUGUAGGUAACCUAGACACUUUGAUCAUUCUUCAGCAUAUAUAUCACAUUCUGAAUGGGCAGUGCUUUGAAAUUUGAAUUCGUAAAUGAGUUACACAUGUAGAGCAGUUCUCAGUCACAAGUGACAGUUGAAUAAUUUUGUAACUAGAUGACACUUCAAAGAAUCUUUUCAUUGCAUGGUUCAUGUCAUGAUUUGUGUGUGAGAUUAAUUUUAAUUGAGAAUGUUAGGUGUCGCUCAGCAUUACUUUCAUUUUUUCUAUUUUUUGAAACAAAAAGUAGGCAUUCCAUGUUCAUUUUUUUCUGAUUUUAAAAAUGUAAACAUGUUUGGUGCAAUCAUUUCUUUAAAAAAAAAAAAUAAACAUAGUGAUGGUGGCAGAGGUGAUGGCUAUAGAGACGAAGGCAGUGGAGAUGCAAGUGGUAUUGCUGGUGGGGGUGGCAGUAGUGCGGCAAAAGUGGCAACAAUGGUGGUGGUGGCAUUGGUAGUGGUGGGAGUACCGGCGAUGUGGUAAAGGCGACGAUGGUGGCGGUGGUGAUGCAGUGGCGGCAGCGAUGGUGGUGCUGGCUACAUGGAGGCAGCGAUGAUGGUAGUGGUGGUGUCGCUGCAAUGGUAAUGGUGGUGGCGGGAGUGCUAGCUAUAUGAUAAAGGCGGUUAUGAUAUAGCAAUGAUAUGGCUGCAGCAAUAAUGGUGGUGGUGGGGGUGUUGGCGAUAUGGUGGAGGCGGCAAUGAUAGCAAUUGUAUGGUGAAGGUAGCAACGAUAGUGGGGAUGGUAGCGUGGUGGUGGCAAUGGCAGAAAUAUUAGUGGUGGUGGCAAAAAGCAUGAAUUUCUUAUUUUUGAAUAUCUUUCUUUUAUUUUUGAGAAAUAAUGAAAGUAACUUUUGACAAUCAGAAAAUAAAAACAACAGCACCGAACAUGUUUUUUGUCUUGUUUUUUGCAAUUUUAUUUUUUUAAUAGAAAAUAAGAAAUAAAACAAUGCCAAAUAGUCCUUGGGUUUAAAUUAGGUCUAGAGCGAGUUUACGUUUUACUCAUGUACUCAUCUUAGAAUUUUCGCAAGUAGCAAAAUGUUUUGUAUGAUGCACUCGGUGCAAAAACCAACCAGAAUUCCUAUCACUUUAUGAUAACAACUCAAAUUAAUCUAUAUAAUUAGAAGAAAUAAAAUCCAUCUCCACUUCUUAAGUUUUUCCUUCAGGGUUGAAUUUUUAGUGAAUUUUGCAAUUUAAUGGUUGAGCAUUAUAUUUUACCACCAUACGAGUUGCACACCAUUAAAGGGUUGACAAGUAGACCACUUAUGCAAAUUACGAUAUGCAAUGCAUACAUGGACUUGAAAGAUGAAGAACAUGCAUUGGUGGAAAACAGGCCUGAUACAUAAAGUGUUGUAAUCAAUAUAUAACCACCAAAUAGACUUCCUCGGUUGAUUGAUGCUUGUCUGCUUAGCACCUGCAAUGUGAAGAGGUCUCUAGUUCGAUUUGGAAAGGUAAAUAAAUAAAUAAAUAUCUCCUGUGUUUUUAUCUGUGUUUCUUUUAACUGAUAUUGCCUUCUUAGAACAUUACUUGAGUGGAAGAAAUAUAUAUCUUUGGCGAACAUGGAUAUAGGCAUUUCAGAGGACUCCUAAUUCAAGUCAUCCAUCCUUAGUGUUCUUCUCUGAUAGCAAUGAUGGAUUCUGCAAUACUCUUCACACCAUUGACAAUUUCUGACUUACACUUUAAAAUCAGAAAAUGGAUUCUGGAAUAAUCUCAAUCCCUUUGCUUUUUAAGAUAUCCUUUGCUUCACAUCCACGCAUGCUUUUCCUCAUCAAAAUGACCUAUCAUCCUGAACUUUCUUUGAUAUACCCUAUAGUUACUGGUUUUUCUGCUAACUACUAUUUUAAAGUGUCAGUUCAUGUUCAUUUUUUGUGACAUGCAGUUUUUCCAUUGAGUAGGUAUUUUUUUGUUAUCCUUUACUAAGCAUAGUUUGUCAUGCAUUUGGAUGCUUCUUGUGAUUGUUGCUUUGAAGAAGUUUUUGUCAUGUAUUUGCUACUCUAAAGAAGUUUCAAUUGUUUUUGUUACAUUAAAAAAAAUAUUCUACUUAUGCCUUUGUUAUUACUAGCAUCCAGGUAUGUCCAAUGCACAUUUAGCAAAAGUAAUGAUAGUUAGCAUUGGAAAAUAACUUAGUUAUAUGAUUUUAUUUUUUGAAGUAAAUGUAUUAGUAGUAAAAGUAUAAAUUCAAAGAUACAAACUUAAAUAUAGAAAUAGAACUAAAGAAUAUAAGUUAGAAUAAACUCAAAAACUUUUAAAAAAGAAUAAAAAUAUUUAAUAAGAAAUCUACUUAGUAGAAGAGUAAAAAAUGAAUCACUUGUUAAAUUUAAACAAAUGAUUAAAAACAUUAUUGAUUGUUUAAUGUUAAUAUUAAUGACAGUUUACUAUAAUAAAGUUUGCAUGAAAUAAUGGGUGAUCAUCUCGUUGAAGAACAGGUAACAUGCAAUAUAACACCAUAUGUUCCUAGUUUUCGUUGGUAUUCAUUAUUACCCCUGGGGGCUAGUGAUAUUGUCUGAUGAGGAAGAAGAAGAGAUGCUUGUUUGUACUUACAAGCCAAUGAAAAUUAAUCUCUAGUAAGUUGAAUAAAAAGACUCACUUACUGGAUCACAAUAAAUGAAGUACGAUCGAGAUGUCAGGGAUCUCUUCAAUAUUUAUAGAGAAGAGAUGAUUCAAAUAAUCUCAAAUAUUCUUUAUUUGAUAUUUUCUAUUUGUAAAUAAUUGGCAAUGUGUUUCCUUAUCUGAAUUCUUUAUGUCAAAAAUAAAUUAUUUGAAAUUUCUUAUUUUGAAAAUAAAUUUGGCAUGUUUUCAAAAAAUUUUGUUUGGUAAUAUUCUUCGCCAAUAUUCUACUCAAUCAUGACUUCUUUAUUUGGGAAUUUUCUAUUGGUUGAUAAUUAUGCGACUAUAUAUAUUUGAAAAUAUUCCACUCACCAGUUCUACUUAAUAUAAUUAACUUAGAUUUAAAAGAAUUUUAGAUUUUCUUUAUUUGGAAAUUUUCUAGUUUUUAAUAAUCAGCAAUAUGUUUCCUUGAAAUUCUUUAUUCUAAAAAUCUACUUGCCAAUGAUUUCAAAUUUUGAUUGUGGUUCAGAUUAAUAUAAAUUCCUUAUUCUAAAAAUAAAUUUGGAAUAAUUUCAAAAUUUCUUUAUUUGGAAAUAUUCUUUGCCAAUAUUCUACUCAAUUAUUCUUUAUUUGAAUAAUUUCUACUCACUAGUAACUAUUUUUGUGAUUUUUUUGGUAUAUACUUUUUGCAUUUUAAGGGAGAUGGUAAAUUCAAAAUUGGUAAAUGGCAGAUGGAAUAUGUUCGUAUUUUUGAUAUGGUAGAAAUAUAAGCACCAUGGUGCGGUUCAUGAACUUGGAAGAUAAAGGUGGAGCAUUGACAACCAAUUAUAAAAAGAAACUCAAACUAUGAAGAAAGUUGUAAAGUUCUUUUUGGAUUUAAAAAUUAAAAAACAUUGUGAUUAGUAAGUCCCAUUAAAUAUUCACUAUUUAUUUUUUGGGCUCCGUCCUAAUAUGUGGUUUAGGUCGUCAUUUUAGUGAAAGGAUAUUUUUUACCUGAUAAGAACUGGAGGUUGAUAGAAAUUAUUUCACUUGGAUGCCUGUGCGGGGUAUCUGAGUUUAGGUUUCUUGCUUCCUUUGGUUCUGGUCUGAAUUCGUAACUCGUUCUUCAAAUGAUUGUUAUUGUUGAUGGUAGGAUUAAAGAAUGUGAACGGUGUUUUCUUUGUUCUUAUUCUCAUUGAGUGAAGGCCAAUUGCAUCGGUAGUGUACCUAAUUGUCAAGCAUUGCAAGUGAAUCAACCCCCUUAGUACAUUGUACAUCGACUUGCAAAUUUGGAAGAGGAUGAGCUCAAUAAUAAGUGUAUGACAUUUGGGAAAAUAAAACCGAUAGGUUGAUCUCAAAAGUGAAUAAUGUUUUUCCUUUAUGUCCACUUGGUGAUUGCAAAUGUGUUGCCCAUGCAUUAGAAUGACUCUUGUAAUUUUUUAUCUAUGUAAGCUGAACAGAAGGGAUACCCUAGAGGUUCUUUAUCUAGUUACUGUGACAUUUCUUUCCAGGUUACUGAUCUUAGACCUCUUUGUGCAAAAAGAUGAGUAAUCUCCACCAUGACAUAUGCUGGUAGCUUAUUCAAAAAUUUAGCAUGUAUUUCAAAAUGUCACUAUAUAUUUAUGAUGUUUGUGAAGGCAGCAAAAGUGUGUGGAUGUUCUUAGAAACAGGCAAUGUUAAGUGCAUUUGCUCACUGGUUAUGCUUGGUAUGAGUCUUUUAGUUCAUCGAGUCCAGUAGACUUGACGAAGUAGGGUAGAGUCAUAAAUUUCUGGAGGAUUGCUUACAGAUGUUCCUUCCAUUUUUUCUUCUUUUUCUUCUGUGCUUUGUAAUUCAGGUUAGGAACUUGGAAGAACAAGAGAUAUCAUUCAUUAUCUUCAGUUGGAAGUCAACUGUAACUGAUGCUUACUUUUGAUUCCAGGAGUUCAAAACCAUGAGCUUUCUGGUAAAGAGAUUUGUGAUAGACCUGGUGGAAUCCAAUCUGCUGGUUUGAGAAUUAUAUCAACAAUUGGAGAGAACAGUAUUAACCAUCAGUAUGAUUGUCGUGCUAAUAAUUGCUGGCAACUUAAGAGGUUCUACGGGGGUCUAGGUUGGCAUGGCUCUGACUUUAGGUUGUGAUUUGUGCUGACUUACUGGUCGGGUAAAAUCUGCUUCUUAUAAACCCAGGUUACUCUCUCAAAUUAUGUAAAGUUUCGCUAGGAUUCAGUGCCCCAGGAAGUACUACUCCUGUUUGAUUUGUCAAGAAGGUAAAGAAACGUAGGGCUUUUUGUAUUAUUCUAACUUCUUGGAGACAAUCUCACACAUUGGUGAGUUUGUAGCUACUGGAGGGCUUAAUUAAAUUCUAAUUGUGCAAGUUAAAUCAAGGCAACACCUUGAUGCUUGGAUAUCAGGUGAAUGUACUAGAGUCUCUUUUCGGCAAUACUUCUGAAGGUUGUUAAUUAUAGAAGGCAGGUGGAAUCAUUUCGGUAUCAUGCUUAGAUGCAAGUGUUUGUGAUUAGAUAAAUCAGAUCAAAACUGCAGCUUGUGGAUCAACACCAUUGUCACUAUCAGGAUUUGGAUUAAAGAUUUCACUGCCUUCAGUCACUACCUUCACCAGAGAAUUUGUUAGAUUCUUAGAACAGGUAAUCUGGCAACAUUUCAAUAAUCGCAAUUAUUGCAGCUGGAUAUGUUAGAGACAAUACUGCUCUUGUUCAAAUGGGUUCUUUUCUUCCUAAUCUCAAGAUCAGCUCUAUUUAAAUUUACGACUUCCUUCACGACUUUCCCUUCUUUUUAGGGUAAAAUACACAUUUGUAUCCUGUCAACUUUGGAAGAGAAAUUUCAUCUUUUUAACCCCAUCUUUAAGUGUUUAUCUUCGUUUAGGCUGAAUUUAUCUUUGGAAACAAGUUGCAGGCAAGUUCAGCUGUUUGUCUUUCUUCGUUGACUUUGUGAACAGGAGACCAAGCAGGGUUGCCAUCUUCUUAUUUUGACUUGUAUCAAAAGCAAGGAACAGGGUCUAAGACAUCGAUCCAAGCAUGCAGGUUGUUGGCUGGCAGCUCUUUGAAGAUGUGAAUGCUGACAGUUAAGGUGCUCAAUUUGGCAUCUUCUUGUUUGUUUUAAUUCAAAAUUUGAUGGGAGAAUAUUCUGUCAGCUAUGGAAGCAUUUCUGAGUUUCGGUCAUUCUGGUUGAUACGAUGCAUGGCAGCAAAUCAGUCUGUAAAUGCUGAAAAUGAGCUUAAUGUUUUGUUGUUAUUCCAACAGUUUUGUUGCUUCAGACUCAUGUUGUGAGUUUGUUUAUUAUAUUCUUGUGAUUCCUUGGUAUAAUCUCUUGAAUUUUUUUUU
Phoenix dactylifera (date palm) is the source of this 7762-nucleotide RNA transcript. RefSeq lists it as uncharacterized. Lineage: Eukaryota; Viridiplantae; Streptophyta; Magnoliopsida; Arecales; Arecaceae. The record is from RefSeq and is a predicted model, not a curated record.